AGUUUGAUCCUGGCUCAGGAUGAACGCUAGCGGCAGGCUUAAUACAUGCAAGUCGUGGGGCAGCAUGGGGUAGCAAUACCCUGAUGGCGACCGGCAAACGGGUGCGGAACACGUACGCAACCUUCCUUUAACUGGAGAAUAGCCCCUCGAAGGAGGGAUUAAUACUCCGUAACAUGAUGAUAAGGCAUCUUAUUAUUAUUAUAGCUCCGGCGGUUAAAGAUGGGCGUGCGCCUGAUUAGGUAGUUGGCGGGGUAACGGCCCACCAAGCCUGCGAUCAGUAACUGGUGUGAGAGCACGACCAGUCACACGGGCACUGAGACACGGGCCCGACUCCUACGGGAGGCAGCAGUAAGGAAUAUUGGUCAAUGGACGCAAGUCUGAACCAGCCAUGCCGCGUGGAGGAUUAAGGCCCUCUGGGUUGUAAACUCCUUUUAUCUGGGAAGAAAUCCAUAUAUUCUUAUGUGGUUGACGGUACCAGAGGAAUAAGCACCGGCUAACUCCGUGCCAGCAGCCGCGGUAAUACGGAGGGUGCAAGCGUUAUCCGGAUUCACUGGGUUUAAAGGGUGCGUAGGCGGGUAAGUAAGUCCGUGGUGAAAUCUCUGAGCUUAACUCAGAAACUGCCGUGGAUACUAUUUGCCUUGAAUAUUGUGGAGGUGAGCGGAAUAUGUCAUGUAGCGGUGAAAUGCUUAGAUAUGACAUAGAACACCAAUUGCGA
RNAcentral lists this ribosomal RNA (715 nucleotides) under uncultured bacterium. Its description in RNAcentral is "bacterial SSU rRNA". It matches the Rfam family "Bacterial small subunit ribosomal RNA", at positions 10 to 718 of the family's 1533-position model. The record is from RNAcentral.